GGAAUCUGCCUAUUAAUGGGGGACAACAUCUCGAAAGGGAUGCUAAUACCGCAUACGCCCUACGGGGGAAAGCAGGGGAUCACUUGUGACCUUGCGUUAAUAGAUGAGCCUAAGUCGGAUUAGCUAGUUGGUGGGGUAAAGGCCUACCAAGGCGACGAUCUGUAGCGGGUCUGAGAGGAUGAUCCGCCACACUGGGACUGAGACACGGCCCAGACUCCUACGGGAGGCAGCAGUGGGGAAUAUUGGACAAUGGGGGGAACCCUGAUCCAGCCAUGCCGCGUGUGUGAAGAAGGCCUUAUGGUUGUAAAGCACUUUAAGCGAGGAGGAGGCUCCUGUAGUUAAUACCUACAGUGAGUGGACGUUACUCGCAGAAUAAGCACCGGCUAACUCUGUGCCAGCAGCCGCGGUAAUACAGAGGGUGCGAGCGUUAAUCGGAUUUACUGGGCGUAAAGCGUGCGUAGGCGGCUUUUUAAGUCGGAUGUGAAAUCCCCGAGCUUAACUUGGGAAUUGCAUUCGAUACUGGGAAGCUAGAGUAUGGGAGAGGAUGGUAGAAUUCCAGGUGUAGCGGUGAAAUGCGUAGAGAUCUGGAGGAAUACCGAUGGCGAAGGCAGCCAUCUGGCCUAAUACUGACGCUGAGGUACGAAAGCAUGGGGAGCAAACAGGAUUAGAUACCCUGGUAGUCCAUGCCGUAAACGAUGUCUACUAGCCGUUGGGGCCUUUGAGGCUUUAGUGGCGCAGCUAACGCGAUAAGUAGACCGCC
This 760-nucleotide ribosomal RNA is filed under the name uncultured bacterium. RNAcentral's name for it is "bacterial SSU rRNA". It matches the Rfam family "Bacterial small subunit ribosomal RNA", at positions 121 to 873 of the family's 1533-position model. The record is from RNAcentral.